This 7692-nucleotide long non-coding RNA is filed under the name Sorghum bicolor (sorghum). RNAcentral's name for it is "long non-coding RNA (SBIC_LNC003237)". The record is from RNAcentral. Lineage: Eukaryota; Viridiplantae; Streptophyta; Magnoliopsida; Poales; Poaceae.
UGCAUAAUCAUAUAAACCCAAAUAAAGAUUUUGUGCUUAUAUAUAUAUAUCUUUGCUUAGUUUGCUGAAUAAAUAAAUAAAUAAAGUUUGCUAUGAAUCCUCAUGAUAUGCUCUCACAUGGAAAAUGAUGAAUAGUUGCUCUGCCAUGACUUGUUCUCAAAAUUGAAAUCUCUUUCAAGUUUAGGCAUGACUGUUAUUAAUUAAGAUUUGCUCUAAACCUGAACUUGUGGGAAGAGUACUUGAUCUAAAGUCUAAGUUGCUAACGGAUAUGAUAUGGGAAGGUUGAGUUGCUGUUUAUCUGUUCCUAGAUAUGCUAGAAUUCUGGAGAAUUUUAUCUUUGAAAAUCUUUAAAAUAUUGCAUGAUGAGUUCCUGUAUGAUGAGAGUUUAAAUUCCUACCACAGCCAUAUAUACAUGCUUGCUAGACUUUGAGCCACACAUUUACUUUUUUACUGCUUAUGAGCAUUGAGUGUGGUCAAGCUGUGUAGACCCUUAGGAGUUUGUCAUGUGGUUAAAUCAAGAUUCACUUGCACGUUCACUCAUACAUGCUACUUCUACUUCGGAAGUACGCAUCCACAUAUAUUCACCCAUUUCCAUCUCCAGAACCACCCAACAAUAUUCUACUCCUAAUCCGGGAGAGAAUAGCCAAAAACAUUUAUGUUUUUCCCCUGUGAAAUAAAUGCUCAAGUUAUCUUGUUGCUACCACUUGCUAUAUUAUCUCAUGAGAUGAGUGCUCUAAAAAAAGAAAAAAAAGAGAAGAAAAAUAAAUACGAGGAAAUAAAAAAGGGGCAAGUGCCCGGAACCUCGAAAGAAAAGAAAAAAAGUGAGACGAGAGGUAAAAAUGGACAAGUGUCCGACAGUAGAAUUAGGGGUACAAGAUACCCACCUGAGAGGAAAGAAAAAGAAAAUACAGAGCAUCUCAUUCUCCCCAAAAGUUUCAAAAGAGCAAGGAAGGUAUGUAUCCCCUUAAAAGAGCAUAAGUAGAAUUAGACUUCCACCAUUGUUAUCACCAUCAUUACCAUGCACCAUUCAUUCGCCACACAUGCACAUCUUGAUUUGACUUAUUGACUUGUUCUUCUGGAUCCAUGGUUUGACUAUGCAAUAAAUGUCUUGUAAGUAUAUAUUAGCUGUCUCCCACCUAUGAGCUCCAGAUAUCAAAAGCCUUAUUAGAGUAGGGUGAGAGAGAAGGCAAUGUCACUAUGCCUCAUACCAAAAAUACCACAUACUUUGAGAGAAGGCAUAUACCAUUACUGCCUUGGUAAGGAUCCAGAAAUACCACAAAAGAGAGACUAGAGAGAGUCAUACAAGGAAUCUCUGAGUUUUAUUUGAAAAUCUGCAAAAACUCUAGAGCUAUAGUUAAUCGAAGAACAAGAGACAUGGUGCUUGACUAGACUGUUCUAUCUUUUAACUACUCAAGACAGAAGUGACGGUUACAAGUCCCAUGGUGAAAGGUAAAUGAGUAAGUUUUAAGUCUUAACAGUUUACUCUAACCAGAGAUGAGAUCUUGUUUAAACGCAUGUGUAUCUUUAAGUUAUGAAACCACUGUAGAAACUCUUGAGUUCAUCUUUGCUCAGGGACGAGCAAAGGUUAAGCUUGGGGGAGCUUGUUGACGGUCCUUAAUGCUCACAUUUAACCAUCAACUAAUCAUAGAAAAGGAUCCAAAUGCAACCAACACCUAGACUUAGAGUUUUAUCUGACAGAAUUCCAUGAGUUUUGGUGUUUGUCUAUUUCUGCAGGGGGUUAUCAGGAAAUACGGAAGAAAGGCCCACACGUCGGGUUUACAUAUAGAUAUUAACGUGCCACGCAAUUUUCUAUCAUCUAGAAGACUCCAGAAGCCACGGGACCGAAGCGGAGGCCGAGAGGACACAGGGACAGGGCGCCCGCCCUCCUUUCCUGGGCGCCCGCCCUCAGCCAGAGUCCAAUCAGGACUCUCUUUCGGGAUAUUGCUCCACCGACCUAAAGGAUCAACAAUAACGGUUCAAUCAAUAUCGGUUUGAUCCGACGGCCCAGAUUCACUUGAAGGGACUAUAAAACCAGACCCCCUGGCCCAUGGAGAUCAUACCUCUUCUACAUAAUCAAAGUUAGGGAUUCAAUUCUUCAUCCAAGUAGAGAGGAUCCCUCUAGUUCUUCUAGUUCUACCUCUAGUUCAUCUAGAUCUAGUUCUAGUUCAUCUAGUUCUAGUUCUAGUUCUUCUAGUUUUAGUUCUAGUUAGUUCUAGUUGUAAUCUAGAAAAUAGGGAGAGAGGAGAGGAGAGCGGAGGAGGAGCCGGAUCUGUCGGAUCUUCCUCAACAUUGUACUUUUGCAGCAUCUGGUUCGUUCUUCAUCGUUCUCCAGGUUCUUCAACUCAUAAUUCCUGAGUUCUCUAAUUACUUUUAUUUACAUUCAAGUUAUUUAUUGGAUUCCCGCUUGCAUCAAGUGCUCUAAUCUUUGAAACAUUAGAGUAGUAAUUAAUAGAUUAGACGUGGUGUUUAGUCUUGCAAUUACCUAGAAUUGCACCCAAUCCUGCGGAUUGUUGUGGUAGCCUUAGGGUAGUGACAGCCCUAACGGUCGACGUAUUCCACCACGUUCGGAUCGGUGUUUGUAGGACCGUAGUCAGACCUUCCUAGCCCCCUUCUCAUCUCUUUCUGUGGUUAGUGCUCUGAUGUCCCGAUAUAGAUAAUCUUGAAGUAAUUCUUGAUUCUUAGAUCAACUAGAGAACUCUCAGGAAACUUCCUCUCUUCCCACCAAAAAUAAUUAUAUAGUUAUCCUUGGGCGAUCUUGGAUCUUAAUUAGUAUACUCACGUUCUCUGUGGAAAAUCGAUACUCUGGAAUACUCCCGGGCGAAAGCUACAUCGGUAUCCGUGCGCUUGCGGAUUUUUCUGUUUGCGUUUAAAAUACCCAACACAAGCAUUUUUGGCGCCAUUGCCGGGGAAGGAUGAUUACUAAUCAGGAAUGGAAUAAAAGAUUUUGAGUUAUCAUUCGCAUCACUAAUAUGAUUGAGCUUAUCUAUUCUCUCAUACAGUUUUACCCCGAUAUUUUCCUAUUUCAUCUUAUGCAGGGGAAUGUAUGAAUAGAAGACAUCUUCUAGGAAAUUUUGUUGACAAUCCCGAAGCAUUAUUCAAGAAGACGAGAGCCAAGCUCAAGAAGAAAUCAUCAACACUUCAGCAAGAAACUUCAUCCAAUCAAGAAGAUCACCGGAACUUGUCUUCAGAGUUCGAAGCCAUGGCGAACAAAUCAAUCCGCGAGUUCUCAGCUCCCACUACGGACAACAUCCGUACCGGACCUGCUGCAGAGAUCGAUGGCAACUUUGAGCUCAAGCCUGGACUUAUCAACAUGGUGCAAUCCAACCAGUUCUGUGGGAAGGCACACGAAGAUGCUAGUGCUCAUUUACAACACUUCCUGGAGAUUUGCAACACAUUCACCAUAUCAGGAGUUUCCAAAGAUGCUAUACUACUUCGCCUCUUCCCAUUCUCACUGUUAGGAAGAGCGAAGCAGUGGUUCUACGCUACAAAGGAGAAUAAUACUACGUGGGCACUCUGCUCAACAAACUUUCUGGCAAAGUUCUUUCCCAUGUGCAAGACCAAUGCUCUCCGUGGGAAGAUUACAAGUUUUCAGCAACAAAAUGAUGAAUCUGUUCCAGAAGCAUGGGAGCGCUUUCAAGACUACACCCUAGAAUGUCCCCAUCAUGGAAUGGAGAGUUGGCUAUUGAUGCAGACAUUUUAUCAUGGGCUCGGCAACAGUGCCCGAGAGACCAUGGAAGCUGCAGCUGGAGGAGCAUUCUUAUCACUUACUAUACCACAAGCCACAGCUCUUGUGGAGAAGAUGGCGUCCAAUCAAAGCUGGAAUGAAGAGAGGACCCAGACACGCAAGAGAGGUGGAGGUAUGCAUCAGCUGAAGGAGGUAGACAUGCUGUCUGCAAAGCUAGACCUGCUCAUGAAGAAGCUCGACGAUAAAGCUGGAGACAAGAAAGAAGUUAUGCACAUCUACGACUCUCACAUGACUUGUGAGGAGUGUGGAGACACUGGACACUCAGGCAACCACUGCCCUGAGAUACUUGAGGAUGUGAACUAUAUCAACAACAACAAUAACAACUACUACAACCGUCCUCAACAAAAUCAAGGUUGGAAUCAACAGAGGCCUAACUACUUAGGUAAUUAUCAAGGUAACAAUUCUUACAACAAUAAUAAUAAUUUUCCACCUUUGAGAGAGUUAGUGUCUAAUCAAGGAAAGCUAAUAGAUAACCUAUCUAAAAAAUUGGCAUCAAAUGAUAAAAUGCUAGAAAAUAUAAAUAAUAGAAUGGAUAAUUUCUCUACCGCCAUCAAGAAUCAAAUUAGCUUUAAUAAAAUGAUUGAAUCUCAGUUAAAUCAAAUAGCUGCUGCUGUUCCUACUACUAACCCCGAUAUACCAUCACAACCGGAAGGAUUAGAAUCUGCAAAUCUUGUAGACAAAUUUGAUGCAGGUAAUUGGAGUAACCCCGUCAAUGAAUUCUCUACUGACCUUCUGCCGGUCAAGAGAGGCGAUCCAGGACGCCCCGUCAUCCCGAUCUCCAUCGGCAUGGUGGACGUUCCAGAAGCACUCUGCGACUUUGGCUCCAGUGUCAACAUUAUACCCAGGGUACUCUAUGAAAAAUUCUUUACAUAUCCUUUAUUAGAGACAACCAUGUGUUUGCAGUUUGCAGAUCAGACGAUAACUUGUCCAAAAGGAAUAGUGAAGAACCUUUGUGUCCGAGUUGGUACCUUGUAUGCCCCAGCAGACUUCGUAGUGGUAGAGACCGAAAAUGAUGAGAGAGCACCUAUCAUCUUAGGGAGGCCAUUCUUGAACACCACGGAAGCUAUCAUCUACGCCAGUGCUACUAAGAUCAGUUUUUACGUCAAAGGGAGGAAGGAGACAUUUUUCUUCAAGAACGAGACUACACAAAUUCCAGAUCAAUCCAGACGUGAAUCAAGGAAGAGGACCAACAGGAGGAACAGGAACAAGCAAGUGUGGACCGAGUCAGCUAAGAUGGUCACUGUAGUUCAUGGAGGCCAAGAUCAUCAACUUAAGUCACCGUUUUUGACCAAGAAGGACGACCCAGGAAUGCCAAGCAUUUACUGCUCCAUAAAUGGAUACAACUUCUACAAGACAUUUUGUGACACCGGAUCGGGCGUUAACAUAAUGGCCGCAGUCACCUAUCGGCUCUUGUUCGGAACCAUGCCCCUAAGACCAACAUACAUUCAACUCCAGAUGGCAGAUCAGACAUUUCGAGAAGUUAAAGGAAUAGUAACUGAUGUCCCAGUCAAAAUAGACGAUCACUUUGUCUACACAUACUUUCAAGUUAUUGACAUGGGAGAAGACGAGUACGAUCUAUCCAUCAUCCUUGGAAGACCGUUCCUCAGCACCGUUAAAGCAAUUAUCUACAUUGGAACCGGAGAAGUCCAUAUGCACUUCCCCUCAGAGAAGGUACGCCGUUAUUUUACUGACCCUAACUAUAUCGUUGAAGAAUCUAAGCAGGUCAGAAAAAGACGCAACCGCAACCAGAGGAGGCAAAUCAUCAAGGACGGAUGGGCAGACUACGAAGGAGAAGUUGUAAGGUCAGAAGACGUAAAGUUUAAACAGAAUUAUCUAGAGGAGACCGAAGCACCAAGUCAGGUAUGGAAAAUGAAGAUAACUAUACAUGAAGAGGAGGCGCCGCCGGAAGUACCGACUACGCCACCCAACGAACCUCAGGACGAUUGAAAAAAUGGAGAGUCCCGUUCGGAGGACUUAAAAACACCGAACGCCUUGCCGAGAGGUAAACUUGAUAGUUAUCCUUUCUCUUUUAAUUAUUUCAAAUAGUUUACUUAGUUAAUCAAGUUCAUACUAUCUUAAAAAGAAAAUAAAAAUAUGAAAAACAGUAAGCCCCAUGUGAGUAUACGAGUGGCAUAAAAUCCAUAAGUACAUUCACUAUGGUGGCAUAAAAAUAAAAUAAAUAUUUUUCUGCUUUAUAAAAUGAAAAUAUAAAAAAAACAGGGAGUAAUAAUUAUUAAGGAGUCUCAAGAUGAUAAAGGCUAGAUAUUUAUGCUAACACUUAAUCAGUUCCACAAGCUUUGUUGUCUAUUUGAGCUCCACAGAAUUUAAGAGUCAAGAAGACUAGUAGACGGAGGACAUUCUAAUCGCUGUCAGAAUGCUGCUGACUUUCAAAUACACCUGUGCCACCUGCUAGCUACAUCAAGAGAAAUUACGUCAAAAUUCAGCUUGGGGGAGAGCACCCCCAUUUAUCUCGAUAAGUAUUUCUAUCUAUCUAUCUUUACACUCAUAUUAUUUUAGAAUAUAAAUAUACAUAACUAUGAAAAAACCAAAUAAAGAUUUUAUGCUUAUUUAUAUAUCUUUUGCUUAGUGUGUUUAAUAAAAUAAAGUGGCUAUGCUAAUCUGUAUCUUAAUAAUAAAACUUAAGCAUGGAUAUGAUGAAUAGUUGCUCUACCUAAUUUGCAUAUUUUAAGUUCUCUCUGAAGUUUAGAUAUAACUGUUAUAAUUUAAAGCUUGCUCUAGACCUAAACUUGUAGGAUGAAAACUUGAUCUGAAGUCUAAGUUGUUAACGGAUACGAUAUGGGAAGGUUGAGCUGCUGUUUAUCUGUUCCUAGAGAUGCUAGAAUUCAGGAGAAUUUUAUCUUUGAAAACUUUAAAAUGUUGCAUGAUGAGUUCCUGUAUGAUGAGAGUUUAAAUUCCUACCACAGCCAUAUAUACAUGCUUGCUAGACUUUGAGCCACACAUUUACUUUUUACUGCUUAUAAGCAUUGAGUGUGGUCAAGCUGUGUAGACCCUUAGGAACUUGUCAUGUGGUUAAAUCAAGAUUUCACUUGCACGUUCACUCAUAUAUGCUACUUCUACUCCGGAAGUACCAUCCACAUAUAUCCACCUAUUCCAUCUCCAGAAUCACCCAAAAAUAUUCUACUCCUAACCCGGGAGAGAAUAACCAAAAAUAUUUCUGUUUUCUCUUGUGGAAUAAAUGCUCAAGUUAUCUUGUUACUACCACUUGCUAUAUUAUCCCAUGAGAUGAGUGCUCUAAAAAAAGAGAAAAUAAAAAAAUACGAGGAAAUAAAAAAGAGCAAGUGCUCGGAACCUCGAAAUAAAAGAAAAAGUGAGACGAGAGGUAAAAAUGGACAAGUGUCCGACAGUAGAAUUAGGGGUGCAAGAUACCCACCUGAGAGAAAAGAAAAAGAAGAGCAUCUCAUUCUCCUCAUAAAGUUUCAAAAAGCAAGGAAGGUAUGUAUCCCCUCAAAGAGCAAAGUAGAAUUAGACUUCCACCACCAUUGUUUUCACCAUUGUUAUCACCAUCAUCACCAUACACCAUUCAUUCACCACACAUGCACAUCUUGAUUAAACUUAUUGAUUUGUUUCUUUAGAUCCAUGGUUUGACUACGCAAUACAUGUCUUGUAAGUAUGUAUACUUUAUUUCCCACCUAUGAGCUCCAGAUAUUAAAGCCUUAUUAGAGUAGGGUCAGAGAGAAGGCAAUGUCACUAUGCUUUAUACCACAAAUACUCCAUAUCUUGAGAGAACGCAUAUACCAUCACUGCCUUGGUAAGGAUCCAGAAAUACCACAAAAGAGAGAUCUGAGAGAAUCAUACAAGGAAUCUCUGAGUUUUAUUUGAAAAUCUGCAAAAACCCCAGAGCUAUAGCUGAUCAAGAAUAAGAGACAUGGCACUUGACUAGACUAUUCUAUCUUUUAACCUCUCAAGACAGAAGUGACGGUUACAAG